GAUGAAGAACGUAGCGAAAUGCGAUAAGUAAUGUGAAUUGCAGAAUUCAGUGAAUCAUCGAAUCUUUGAACGCACCUUGCACCCUUUGGCAUUCCGAAGGGUAUGCUCGUUUGAGUGUCAUUGUACUCUCACUCUCCCGAUGCUUUUGGAUCGGGAGUGGUGGACUUGGGUGUUGCUGCUUUGCUGUGGCUCGCCUCAAAUGGAGUAGUGCAACUCUUGGUUGGACAUAGUACGGCGUGAUAAGUGUCUUCGCCGGCGCCUCAUUAUAGAGGGUGGCCGAUCGGGAGCUCUGUGCUUCAAACCGUCUUCGGACAACAUCUGACAACUUGACCUCAAAUCGAGUAGGACUACCCGCUGAACUUAAGCAUAUCAAAAGCGGAGGA
Molecule: unclassified non-coding RNA, 383 nt
Filed under: soil metagenome
Description: partial contains 5.8S ribosomal RNA, internal transcribed spacer 2, and large subunit ribosomal RNA
Rfam family: 5.8S ribosomal RNA (bases 1-120)
Source: RNAcentral